CUCAUCUCGAAUUCCCACAUGUUGUGGGAGGGACUGGGUGGUGGGAGUUAAUUGAAUCAUGGGAGUAGGUCUUUCCCAUUCUGUUCUUGUGAUAGUGAAUAAGUCUCAUGAGAUCUGAUGGGUUUUAAAAAAUGGGAGUUUCCCUGAACAAGCUCUCUUCUCUUGUCUGCCAACAUGUGAGAUGUGCCUUUCACCUUCUGCCAUGAUUGUGAGGCCUCCCCAG
This 223-nucleotide long non-coding RNA is filed under the name Homo sapiens (human). RNAcentral's name for it is "LHRI_LNC584.1". The record is from RNAcentral. Lineage: Eukaryota; Metazoa; Chordata; Mammalia; Primates; Hominidae.